UUGGCAGUACAGACCUUCUGGA
RNAcentral lists this unclassified non-coding RNA (22 nucleotides) under Mus musculus (house mouse). RNAcentral's name for it is "oocyte_clustered_small_RNA13255". Lineage: Eukaryota; Metazoa; Chordata; Mammalia; Rodentia; Muridae. The record is from RNAcentral.